This 468-nucleotide ribosomal RNA is filed under the name uncultured bacterium. RNAcentral describes it as "partial 16S ribosomal RNA". It matches the Rfam family "Bacterial small subunit ribosomal RNA", at positions 28 to 507 of the family's 1533-position model. The record is from RNAcentral.
GACGAACGCUGGCGGCGUGCUUAACACAUGCAAGUCGAACGGUGAAGCUCCAGCUUGCUGGAGUGGAUCAGUGGCGAACGGGUGAGUAACACGUGAGCAACCUGCCCCUGACUCUGGAAUAAGCGCUGGAAACGGCGUCUAAUACUGGAUACGAGAAGGGUCCGCAUGGGCACUUUCGGGAAAGUUCUUCGGCUGGGGAUGGGCUCGCGGCCUAUCAGCUUGUUGGUGAGGUAAUGGCUCACCAAGGCGACGACGGGUAGCCGGCCUGAGAGGGCGACCGGCCACACUGGGACUGAGACACGGCCCAGACUCCUACGGGAGGCAGCAGUGGGGAAUAUUGCACAAUGGGCGGAAGCCUGAUGCAGCGACGCCGCGUGAGGGAUGACGGCCUUCGGGUUGUAAACCUCUUUCAGCUGGGAAGAAGCGAAAGUGACGGUACCUGCAGAAGAAGCACCGGCUAACUACGUG